Molecule: unclassified non-coding RNA, 336 nt
Filed under: soil metagenome
Description: partial contains 5.8S ribosomal RNA, internal transcribed spacer 2, and large subunit ribosomal RNA
Rfam family: 5.8S ribosomal RNA (bases 1-120)
Source: RNAcentral
GAUGAAGAACGCAGCGAAAUGCGAUAAGUAGUGUGAAUUGCAGAAUUCAGUGAAUCAUCGAAUCUUUGAACGCACAUUGCGCCCCUUGGUAUUCCAUGGGGCAUGCCUGUUCGAGCGUCAUUUGUACCUUCAAGCUCUGCUUGUGUUGGGUGUUUGUCUCGCCUCUGCGUGUAGACUCGCCUCAAAACAAUUGGCAGCCGGCGUAUUGAUUUCGGAGCGCAGUACAUCUCGCGCUUUGCACUCAUAACGACGACGUCCAAAAGUACAUUUUUACACUCUUGACCUCGGAUCAGGUAGGGAUACCCGCUGAACUUAAGCAUAUCAAUAAGCGGAGGA